GACGAACGCUGGCGGCGUGCUUAACACAUGCCAGUCGAACGGAAAGGCCCUGCUUUUGUGGGGUGCUCGAUUGGCGAACGGGUGCGUAACACGUGAGUAACCUGCCCUUGUCUUUGGGAUAACUUCAGGAAACUGGGGCUAAUACCGGAUAGGAGCUCCUGCUCCAUGGUGGGGGUUGGAAAGUUUCGGCGGUUGGGGAUGGACUCGCGGCUUAUCAGCUUGUUGGUGGGGUAGUGGCUUACCAAGCCUUUGACGGGUAGCCGGCCUGAGAGGGUGACCGGCCACAUGGGGACUGAGAGACGGCCCAGACGCCUACGGGAGGCAGCAGUGGGGAAUAUUGCACAAUGGGCGGAAGCCUGAUGCAGCAACGCCGCGUUCGGGAUGACGGCCUUCGGGGUAUAAACCGCUUUCGCCUGUGACGAAGCGUGAGUGACGGUAAUGGGUAAAGAAGCACCGGCUAACUACGUG
This 468-nucleotide ribosomal RNA is filed under the name uncultured bacterium. RNAcentral describes it as "partial 16S ribosomal RNA". It matches the Rfam family "Bacterial small subunit ribosomal RNA", at positions 28 to 507 of the family's 1533-position model. The record is from RNAcentral.